RNAcentral lists this ribosomal RNA (497 nucleotides) under uncultured bacterium. RNAcentral's name for it is "partial 16S ribosomal RNA". It matches the Rfam family "Bacterial small subunit ribosomal RNA", at positions 28 to 507 of the family's 1533-position model. The record is from RNAcentral.
GAUGAACGCUGGCGGCGUGCCUAAUACAUGCAAGUCGAGCGAACGGACGAGAAGCUUGCUUCUCUGAUGUUAGCGGCGGACGGGUGAGUAACACGUGGAUAACCUACCUAUAAGACUGGGAUAACUUCGGGAAACCGGAGCUAAUACCGGAUAAUAUUUUGAACCGCAUGGUUCAAAAGUGAAGGACGGUCUUGCUGUCACUUAUAGAUGGAUCCGCGCUGCAUUAGCUAGUUGGUAAGGUAACGGCUUACCAAGGCAACGAUGCAUAGCCGACCUGAGAGGGUGAUCGGCCACACUGGAACUGAGACACGGUCCAGACUCCUACGGGAGGCAGCAGUAGGGAAUCUUCCGCAAUGGGCGAAAGCCUGACGGAGCAACGCCGCGUGAGUGAUGAAGGUCUUCGGAUCGUAAAACUCUGUUAUUAGGGAAGAACAUAUGUGUAAGUAACUGUGCACAUCUUGACGGCACCUAAUCAGAAAGCCACGGCUAACUACGUG